Molecule: ribosomal RNA, 535 nt
Filed under: Amanita oleosa
Lineage: Eukaryota; Fungi; Basidiomycota; Agaricomycetes; Agaricales; Amanitaceae
Description: SSU rRNA
Rfam family: Bacterial small subunit ribosomal RNA
Source: RNAcentral
AUCACAAGCGAUAUCAAAGUAUUAACUGUGAUAAGGUAAGGGAAAAAAAUGAUAUUACCUUACUAUUAGUGUUGUCCAAAUCUGGUGCCAGAAGACUCGGUAAGACCAGAAACGCAAACGUUAAUCGUCCUUAUCAGGCGUAAAGGGUUUGUAGGCUGCUUUUAAAUUUUCUAUUUAAAUUAGCUCUGAUUUAAUUCAGUUAAAUAGAAAUAUAAUAAAAGCUAGAAUCAAAUAGAGGAUAAGCCAAAUAAUACUUAGAGUAGGGAUGAUAUCCAUAGAUACUAAGGGGAAUACUAAAGGUGAAAACUUUUAUCUACUAAUGAUUGACGCUGAGAAACGAAGGUGAGAAUAGGAAAUAGGAUUAGAUACCCAGAUACCUCUCACUGUCAACGAUGAAUGGUAGUUUGUUAGUUUUAAUAAAAAUUGAUAACGAUGCUAACGCGAUAACCAUUCCGCCUUGCGAGUACGGUUGCAAAACUGAAACCAAAAAAAUUAGUCGGUCUCGAAGCAAACGAAGUGGAGCAUGUUAUUUAAU